AGUGAACGCUGGCGGUAGGCCUAACACAUGCAAGUCGAACGGCAGCACAGUAAGAGCUUGCUCUUACGGGUGGCGAGUGGCGGACGGGUGAGGAAUACAUCGGAAUCUACUUUUUCGUGGGGGAUAACGUAGGGAAACUUACGCUAAUACCGCAUACGACCUACGGGUGAAAGCAGGGGAUCUUCGGACCUUGCGCGAUUGAAUGAGCCGAUGUCGGAUUAGCUAGUUGGCGGGGUAAAGGCCCACCAAGGCGACGAUCCGUAGCUGGUCUGAGAGGAUGAUCAGCCACACUGGAACUGGGACACGGUCCAGACUCCUACGGGAGGCAGCAGUGGGGAAUAUUGGACAGUGGGCGCAAGCCUGAUCCAGCCAUACCGCGUGGGUGAAGAAGGCCUUCGGGUUGUAAAGCCCUUUUGUUGGGAAAGAAAAGCAGCAGGUUAAUACCCCGCUGUUCUGACGGUACCCAAAGAAUAAGCACCGGCUAACUUCGUG
Molecule: ribosomal RNA, 492 nt
Filed under: uncultured bacterium
Lineage: Bacteria
Description: partial 16S ribosomal RNA
Rfam family: Bacterial small subunit ribosomal RNA
Source: RNAcentral